UACGGAAGGCAGCAGUGGGGAAUAUUGCACAAUGGGCGCAAGCCUGAUGCAGCCAUGCCGCGUGUAUGAAAAAGGCCUUCGGGUUGUAAAGUACUUUCAGUCGUGAGGAAGGUGUUAAGGUUAAUAACCUUAGCAAUUGACGUUAGCGACAGAAGAAGCACCGGCUAACUCCGUGCCAGCAGCCGCGGUAAUACGGAGGGUGCGAGCGUUAAUCGGAAUUACUGGGCGUAAAGGGCACGCAGGCGGUUAAUUAAGUUGGAUGUGAAAUCCCCGGGCUUAACCUGGGAAUGGCAUUCAAGACUGGUUAGCUAGAGUCUUGUAGAGGGGGUAGAAUUCCGAUGUGUAGCGGUGAAAUGCGUAGAGAUGUGGAGGAAUACCGGUGGCGAAGGCGGCCCCUGGACAAAGGCUGACGCUCAUGUGCGAAAGCGUGGGGAGCAAAC
This 440-nucleotide ribosomal RNA is filed under the name uncultured bacterium. Its description in RNAcentral is "bacterial SSU rRNA". It matches the Rfam family "Bacterial small subunit ribosomal RNA", at positions 340 to 773 of the family's 1533-position model. The record is from RNAcentral.